Long non-coding RNA from Corapipo altera (White-ruffed manakin), 592 nucleotides. RefSeq lists it as uncharacterized. The transcript is spliced from 2 exons. The record is from RefSeq and is a predicted model, not a curated record. NCBI's taxonomy places the organism in Eukaryota, Metazoa, Chordata, Aves, Passeriformes, Pipridae.
AACCAGGAACGGAGCGACCCAAGAGGGAAACAGGAAUGGAACGACCCCGGAAAAAAAUUCCACAGAUUCAUUCUGUAGUCUGAACGCAUGAGAUUAAGCACUUCUGUUCAUCUAUUCCAACUUGGAGAUUAAGUCUACAUUCACAAGUAGGAUGCUGACUCCCUGUAUGCUGACUGCAAAAAAAUUAUGAUUACCUACAACCACAGUAUAGGAUCCAGGUGACCCUAGCUGACCCAAUGAAGCAAGAACAACUGGAACCUAUUCCGAUCUCUUCACUAAAGAUGGAUACGAUUACAAAGAUAUUAUUGUCUACACUUUUACUAUUACUCAUUUGUUAUGGAUAUUUUAUGUUGUUUUCCUUGUUUUUCAUCAAUAUGCUGCUUAAGUUGUUCAACAGUGGCAUGGUCCAACCACAGACCAUGUAGUAGAAUGUAUUUGUACUUAAUUAAAUAAUGCUACUUUAGUCUGUGUUUAGCCUAAAGCAAGUGCUGAUAGACAAAAACUUUGCCCCUGAAACAAACAUCUUGUAUAAUUUGAGAUUAAUUAAUAUUUUACUAUUAGUUGACAGCCCUCCAAAAACAUUUGAAAGAGA